AUACGGAGGGUGCAAGCGUUAUCCGGAUUUAUUGGGUUUAAAGGGUGCGUAGGCGGAUCGGUCAGUCAGUGGUGAAAUCCCAUAGCUUAACUAUGGAACUGCCAUUGAUACUGCCAAUCUCGAGUAUAGUUGAAGUGGAUGGAAUGUAACAUGUAGCGUUGAAAUGCAUAGAUAUGUUACAGAACACCGAUUGCGAAGGCAGUUCACUAAACUAUUACUGACGCUGAGGCACGAAAGCGUGGGGAGCGAACAGGAUUAGAAACCCUAGUAGUCC
Molecule: ribosomal RNA, 274 nt
Filed under: uncultured bacterium
Lineage: Bacteria
Description: partial 16S ribosomal RNA
Rfam family: Bacterial small subunit ribosomal RNA
Source: RNAcentral